This 330-nucleotide long non-coding RNA is filed under the name Elaeis guineensis (African oil palm). RNAcentral describes it as "long non-coding RNA (EGUI_LNC065830)". The record is from RNAcentral. Lineage: Eukaryota; Viridiplantae; Streptophyta; Magnoliopsida; Arecales; Arecaceae.
AUGAUUCUAAGGAAUCUCUGGAAGAGGACAGGCAUUUCUAACAAUAGUUUGGCAUCCUCCCCAUAACUAACAACCAGCUGGCAAGCAGAUGACCUAUCCAAAUAGCUAAUCAGUUUAGGCCUGACGAUCUCCGAUUUCCAUCGAUAACAAAGACCAAGAGGGACCCUCUAGGUAUGAGACUCUUUCCUCCUAAUACGCUCGCUUCUUCCCUCCUAUUACCAGAAAUCUGACUUGAGCUUAGAGGGUUCCUGCAGGAGUCAUCUCCGGUAGGAACUUCUUUGCAGGUACCGUCGCCACCGCCAUCGCGCCAUUGCCCACCAAUCAUUGCUA